GUGUUUUGUACUCGUUCGGGAUUCAGGCUGUAUAUGAGUUAGUGAGGACUGAAGAGAGGAGAGUUAAACAAACAAGCAAACAAACAAACACACAGGGCAAGAAAACAGGACCCAACAGCAGACGCUGACACCCUCCCGACCUGCAGUGCAGAGUGAUUCCAAGAACCGCGCGCGACAUUCCGUGUCUCAGGAAAGAUGGUACCCACACUAAGCUCAGCCAAGAACGGCCUCCGCGCCCGCUUAAUUUUCCGAACCUGUUCUUGUGGUGCUGAUGGGGAGGGUGGCCGGGAAGAGAGGAGAGACCACUGAUCAAGUUGCUGUUUGUAUAUUGGUUGAUUGCUGUUUGCUGUUUGUUUAUUGAUUGAUUUUUUUUUAUUGGCCCCUGGCCGAGGAUGAGCUAAGAAGCCUUUUGCAUACCUUGACCUGACCUCACUUAUCCUUCCACACUUCUACACCCUUUUCCUUCCUGCGCAGGGUCCUGAGCAGGUGAUUCAGGCCCACAUUCUCGUCAUUCCCGCCUCGCUGCUCAGCCCCUUUCCUUGGCCUGCAUUUCCUAUUGGUCUAAAUCAAGCAGUGCUUAGAGCCUCCCACAACGGGCCUUCAACCAUAUUUGGAAGAAAAGAAGGAAUCCAGAGAGGAAAUGGUUACCUGUGCUUACAGGCGGUCUGCACCACAAGCGCUGACUCAGCAAGAGGGAACUCUGCGUACCCCUGUCCCGAAAGCCCCUUGAGCAAGGACGUCAGAAAGAGACUAAAAUGGAGGGACAGCCUCCGAGGGCCCUGGAGCAGGGUAACAUGAGAUCUAUGACUAUCUAGUCAUUCGCUACCUGCAUUUGAAAGCAUAUGCAUUAUUAUGGUUGUCACCAUUUAUAGUAGUAUACUUAGACGUUGUCCAUCGAAUCUGGACGCAUACUCAAUUUGAAACUAAAUAAAACCUAAAGGAACAUAGGUGACCAUGAGGGACUCCAGGGAACAUUCUCUGGGACGGAACUCUGUGAAGAGUGGAGAAGAGGCCUCUAGGAUCAAGCUAUUCAUCAUGGAUACAGCCUCAGAUCCAGGACCUCCACCCUCUGGUGCAGUAUUUCCAGGAUAUUAGUGGGGGACUGUGGACCAUUCAAGCCUUGGAACAAGUCUAGCCCAACCACUGUCUAACUUUGCUGCUGACGGAAGCCUGACCCAGCCCUGACCUCGUAGACCUUAUAGGAAUAUGUUCUCAGCUCACUGCUCCACAUUUCUGGCCCUGUGACCUCACCAAACAAACACCUGCCUAUCUCAGAGCAUUGUAUCUAUUCAUGUUGAUUUCUGUCUCUUCCUUAUUAGUCUCUUGCACAAACCAUGAACUGGAUGAAAGCAAGAACGGGAUCGUUUGGGUUCUGUGGGUGACAUCAGGACUUGACUGUGGACUUGACUUGCAUCUGGCACAGCCUGCUCGCCAGCUCCUAUUCCCUUGCCCACCUGUUCUUUGACCUUGAACGCCCAACCCCUUUUUCUUGGCAUCAGUAUCGUCCUCUCUAAGAGCAGAGAUUAGGAUUAAUAAAUCUAUGACGUGCUUGUCACAGGGACUAAUGAGACUGUA
This 1575-nucleotide long non-coding RNA is filed under the name Mus musculus (house mouse). RNAcentral describes it as "RIKEN cDNA 4833407H14 gene". The record is from RNAcentral. Lineage: Eukaryota; Metazoa; Chordata; Mammalia; Rodentia; Muridae.